This 418-nucleotide ribosomal RNA is filed under the name uncultured bacterium. Its description in RNAcentral is "bacterial SSU rRNA". It matches the Rfam family "Bacterial small subunit ribosomal RNA", at positions 28 to 445 of the family's 1533-position model. The record is from RNAcentral.
GAUGAACGCUGGCGGCGUGCCUAAUACAUGCAAGUCGAACGAAGAUCUAGCUUGCUAGAUCUUAGUGGCGAACGGGUGAGUAAUACAUAAAUAAUCUGCCCAUUGGACUGGGAUAACUAUUGGAAACGAUAGCUAAUACCGGAUAGGUGAUUUGAAGGCAUCUUCGAAUCAUUAAAGUAGGGUCACUACACCAAUGGAUGAGUUUAUGGCGCAUUAGUUAGUUGGCGGGGUAACGGCCCACCAAGACGAUGAUGCGUAGCCGACCUGAGAGGGUGACCGGCCACACUGGGACUGAGACACGGCCCAGACUCCUACGGGAGGCAGCAGUAGGGAAUUUUCGGCAAUGGGCGCAAGCCUGACCGAGCAACGCCGCGUGAGUGAUUAAGGCCUUCGGGUUGUAAAGCUCUGUUGUAAGGGA